This 672-nucleotide ribosomal RNA is filed under the name uncultured organism. RNAcentral describes it as "bacterial SSU rRNA". It matches the Rfam family "Bacterial small subunit ribosomal RNA", at positions 172 to 833 of the family's 1533-position model. The record is from RNAcentral.
AAUACGCUCGCGACCCUGUGGGGAUGUGAGGAAAAGCGCUUCGGCGCUGCUCGAGGAUGAGCCUGCGGCCGAUUAGUUAGUUGGUGGGGUAACGGCCUACCAAGGCGACGAUCAGUAGCCGGCCUGAGAGGGUGAGCGGCCACACUGGGACUGAGAUACGGCCCAGACUCCUACGGGAGGCAGCAGCUAAGAAUCUUCUACAAUGGACGAAAGUCUGAUAGAGCGACGCCGCGUGGGUGAUGAAGGCCGGAAGGUUGUAAAGCCCUUUUCUAUUCGAGGAAUAAGGUGUGGAGGCAAUGCCACACUGAUGACGGUAGGGUAGGAAUAAGCCCCGGCCAAUUACGUGCCAGCAGCCGCGGUAACACGUAUGGGGCGAGCGUUGUUCGGAAUCAUUGGGCGUAAAGGGCGCGUAGGCGGAUAUGCAAGCUUGGUGUGAAAGACCGCAGCUCAACUGCGGGAGCGCGCUGAGAACUGCAUAUCUUGAGUUCAAGAGGGGAAGCUGGAAUUCCAGGUGUAGGGGUGAAAUCUGUAGAUAUCUGGAAGAACAUCAGUGGCGAAGGCGAGCUUCUGGCUUUGAACUGACGCUGAGGCGCGAAAGCGUGGGGAGCGAACAGGAUAAGAUACCCUGGUAGUCCACGCUGUAAACGAUGUGCACUAGGGUGUUGGGCCGUU